GCCAGAAUCUCAUAUAAGAUGUAAAAUAGUCGUUUAUCAAUUCUUACUCCACAGAACACAGCCAAUCCGUGUAUAGGGCUAGAAACAGCUGCACGAGCUAGGACUACUAGCAAAGCUUUAGCGGCAGACAAAGGCGUGUAUUAUUCAUAGAGAUCGGCUUAAGAUCCGCAUUGAAUGAUUUGUCAGCUAUGUGGAACAUAAGCAUGUGAAUGAGAAAUGGAUUUGCUUGAAAAAGAUGGCGAGUGAGAGAGAACGAGAAAGAUAUUAGGAAAAUGGGGUUACUAAUAGGGCAAAUCCUCAGCCUCUUGUGACGCUAUUUUGGAAAAAUCUCUAAAUGCAAUUGAUGAUCCUCCUUGGUCACCACCUGUGUCCGCUCCGUCCAAUUUUCCUCCUCAUCAAGACAACGGAUCUCCUCCCAUGUGUCCAACUGAGGCAAUUCAAUCUUGUAUCUCUCAGGGCGAUGGCGCACUGGUGUGUUUUUAAAGCUUACCUAAAGGGUAAAAAGGGUUAAGUAAAGAAAGUGCAAACUUAGUUCAGGAGAUAGUUAAUGCAGAUAACAGCUUAACAGCACAGGUAAAAGUAAUUUCUUUUAACAAAUUUGACGUUUUAUGAGUUCUAAAAAUGAAAUAAAGAAGUUGUUCUCUAAUGUACAUGUACAGUAUGUACAAUUAUAAUAAAAUUAACAAAAUAAACUGUGCGGGAAACAUUAUAUUUUAAUAGAUAUCUAUCUAAAUCUAGAAAUCUAAACGUUUGCACAUCAUAACUACUUAACAACGUUGGCCUUUUUAAUUAUUGACAUAUUUUUGUAUUUUAAUUGCAAGUAACGAUAGUAUAGCACAUGCAAUAAUAGAAGUAUCUUUUACAGUCGUUUACAGACGAAUAAUCACGUUUCCACCUAUAAAAACAUGUGGAACUCUUAUUAUAAAAAUAGAUUCACCGACACACUCGAUGGCAUCAGAAAAACCCGCGAUAAAACCCAUUGAUUCCACUCUUAUUUUAUUAUGAGUAAGUAUAACUUUACACCCAAAAGAACCAUGUUCAGUCAAGAGCUCGUACUAACAAAAUGUUAAAUUCUUCAAAUUUUCAUACUAUCCAUUUCAGAGGUAGUUGAUACAUAAUCAAGUGCAUUGUUACUUUACAACAGUCGAUGGCUUCACUAAGAAUAAAUAAUUAGUCUCAUCAA
This is a long non-coding RNA of Nematostella vectensis (starlet sea anemone), 1183 nucleotides long. RefSeq lists it as uncharacterized. The record is from RefSeq and is a predicted model, not a curated record. NCBI's taxonomy places the organism in Eukaryota, Metazoa, Cnidaria, Anthozoa, Actiniaria, Edwardsiidae. The transcript has 2 exons.